Molecule: ribosomal RNA, 407 nt
Filed under: uncultured bacterium
Lineage: Bacteria
Description: partial 16S ribosomal RNA
Rfam family: Bacterial small subunit ribosomal RNA
Source: RNAcentral
AUUGAACGCUGGCGGCAGGCCUAACACAUGCAAGUCGAGCGGAGCGGCGGACGGGUGCGUAAUGCCUAGGAAUCUGCCUGGUAGUGGGGGAUAACGUCCGGAAACGGGCGCUAAUACCGCAUACUAUCAGAUGAGCCUAGUUAGGAUUAGCUAGUUGGUGGGUUAAAGGCCUACCAAGGCGACGAUCCGUAACUGGUCUGAGAGGAUGAUCAGUCACACGGGAACUGAGACACGGUCCAGACCCGUACGGGAGGCAGGAGUGGGGAAUAUUGGACAAUGGGCGAAAGCCUGAUCCAGCCAUGCCGCGUGUGUGAAGAAGGCCUUCGGGUUGUAAAGUACUUUCAGCGUGGAGGCGUUACCCGCAGAAGAAGCACCGGCUAACUCCGUGCCAGCAGCCGCGGUAAUUC